GUAGGUGAACCUGCGGAAGGAUCAUUACAUGAUAUCACGGGGGGCCGGAACCACUAAAGUGCGCCGCGCUUCGGUGUGAACGCACUUUGACCUGCCCUGUCUGCAUAUUAUACCCAUGAUUUUGCGUACCAUUUGUUUCCUUGGUGGGCUUGCCCACCUAUAGGACUCUAUAAAACCUUUUGUAAUUGCAGUCAGCGUCAGAAAAGUAUAAUAAUUACAACUUUCAACAACGGAUCUCUUGGUUCUG
RNAcentral lists this unclassified non-coding RNA (247 nucleotides) under rhizosphere metagenome. RNAcentral's name for it is "partial ribosomal RNA internal transcribed spacer region". The record is from RNAcentral.